Leucoraja erinaceus (little skate) is the source of this 624-nucleotide long non-coding RNA. RefSeq lists it as uncharacterized. The transcript is spliced from 3 exons. The record is from RefSeq and is a predicted model, not a curated record. NCBI's taxonomy places the organism in Eukaryota, Metazoa, Chordata, Chondrichthyes, Rajiformes, Rajidae.
UAAUCUAAUUUUGUACAAACAAAAACUGAAUCAGUUUUAAUCAUUUUGCUCCAGUUUUUAAAAAUGGUAUCACACACACUUAUUGCAUUGUGAAUCUGGAACGAUUAAAAUUUAAAUCAUGUGGAGAGGGGGGAUAGGACUGUGUGGGGUGUGACCAGCAGUUCCAAGCAGAACAGACAGCGUUCAGCCAUUUAAACUGAAGUCGGGACCUUUUGGCAUGCUUUGUGAAACACAAACACCUGGAAUAUGCUGACAAAUUCAGGGGACGGUCUCUGUUCCCAUUCCCCAGCCACACUGGGGAAAUCACCCUUGGAUUCUGAGCCAGGUCAGACUCAGCACAUAAUUCAGAACCUUGUUGAUUUCAUGUCUAUUUUGUUGGAAUCCAAGAGGCCACAAAGUUGAGGGGAGCGUUUCUGAGGCAAGAUCUUUGCCGAAGGCUUGGUCAUCAACGGCACAGUGACGCUAAUCUGCAGGGGUGAACAAGGAGCAACAAGGUGCCCCCUCUGAAUCCAGCUAAGGUAACGGUGACAUGCAGUGAUCUCUUGCAUCUAUUUGAGGAAGCCAGCAUGAUUACGGUCAAGUGUGUUUCAGGUACCUUUUGCAGGAGAACAGACAACAUGAAUA